Molecule: microRNA precursor, 159 nt
Filed under: Chlorocebus sabaeus (green monkey)
Lineage: Eukaryota; Metazoa; Chordata; Mammalia; Primates; Cercopithecidae
Description: miRNA (ENSCSAG00000021005.1)
Source: RNAcentral
GUAAGUAUAAUUACAUUAUUUUGCAGUGUGAAAUGGGAAUUGAGAAGAAGAAAAUGAAAACUAUCAGGUUCAAAGUCUGAAGAGGUACAAUAUCUAUUUCUAAAUAACAUUGGUGUAUCAAGUUUGUGUAUUUUCAACCCAAAAGUAUUCAAUAAAGAU